AAAUUUCUAAAAAAAAA
This 17-nucleotide small RNA is filed under the name Arabidopsis thaliana (thale cress). RNAcentral describes it as "ATSL132660". Lineage: Eukaryota; Viridiplantae; Streptophyta; Magnoliopsida; Brassicales; Brassicaceae. The record is from RNAcentral.